GGUCUGCCCCAAGGGAGCCCCCUGGCCCCGCAGGAGACAAGUGAGGGACCCGGAGCGCAGACGGGACAGAAGGUGAUGGCAGUCUUGUUUUCUGAUGUCCUUAGCAGAAUGACCGUUCAGUUAAUGUAUUGAACAUCUGCUCUAAAUACUGCCCCGCGUUAACCCCCCACCUCUCGUCUCGCAGCAACCCCCGGGUGAGUUCUGCCGUGACUCCCACUUCACAGAUUAGGAAACGGGGGCUGGGGGAGUUACGGAGCCACAGACUGACAGCUCCCGGCGGCAGGAGCAGCCCCUGGGGGCGCCAGUGAGGAGGGCGGCGGCCUGCAGUGCCCCGUGAGCACGGAGGAGCGCAGGUGGGCCCUGUGCACGCCCCUGCGUUCCUUAUUGCUUCCCUGCCGCUGCGAGUCGUUCGCUCGCAAGCCUGAGGUUCUCAAUCUUAAAAUAGCCCCAGAUUUUUCGCUGCUUAGAGACGACUUUCUCUACACUCCCCGCAACACCUGACCCAACAGCAGCGCCCCUGCUGCGGGGCCUUGUGUGCCCAAGACGCUGAACAAGCCGGCCCGCUGGGCUCGGCCCUGAUCCGGCCAGCAGACUGACCGACCAGCGAAAGGGCGACAGUGGCUGCUUCAGAGCGGCCGGAGGGACCCAGCGGACACCUGUCCAGAAAGUCACCCUGGAGCCACCGUGCUGGCACAAAAGACCAGAAACCCUCGGCUGGAUGAAGGUCAGCGCCAGUAUCCACGAGCAAGCUGCGCUCGGUCCCUGGGGGGCGAGCGAGUGACCCGCGCCCAGAGCAACGCACCCGGCAUAGCCGAGUUUCUGUGAGGGCCUCAGAGGCCCGGCCACCGACCGCAGCCGUCCUCGACGGGACCCGGGGGCCUGCUGGACACGCUGCGGUUGUCUCAACCAGGGUCUGCCGGCUUCCGGGAGAAGAGCGCUGCCCAGGACAGCUGCCGCCCGCACUCAGCCGGGUGGGCCCGGGUCUGGUCCGCGGUGUCGACAGCAAGGCGGAGAACCCGUUCCCUCGAGGCCACACCCGUGCGCCCGGCGCCCCUGGUCUUCACCCCCGUGGGCUCUUUCUUUCACCAAGGCCAGGUCCUCGGGACACAGGCAGAUGUGUCCAAGGCCCAGCGUUGCUGCGGCUGAGCUGGCUGAAGACGAUGUUCCAUAUCCUGAUGUUCGGCGUCGACAGGAGCUGGCUGAGUUCUUCGGUGAUGUCGGAGCAGCCUUUGACCCGCAGCGUGUACACCACGGUGGUCCCUAGAAGUUGGGUCACCUGAGCGCCAUGGCCCAGUGGGCAGCACCAGCACCCAGCCAGCUGCAUGGCCAGGGCCGCGGGGCUCGGAACUCGCCUGCCUCUCCAGGUCAGCCAUCGGGCGGUGACAGACAGGUGCAGCUGACCCAAGGUAGAUAGGUAGGCACCCCUGCCCCACCCAGGAGGACCGGGCCUGGGUCCUCCUCAUCCAGGCCGGGCCCAGACCCCACUCCUCUCUGGAGCAGAGUGUUACCUGCCUCAGUUUCCCCUCAGCAGAAGCAAAAGCAGCCAGAUGAGACCCAGUGACUGCGUACAGACAGAGCAAGAGCCCGGGGGGGUGAGGGAGGGAGCAGGGCGCCAGUCUUGGGGGGGAGAGCACCAGAACCUGGCUAGGUGGCUCCUUCCCUCGGCCGGCCGACAGGCAGGGCACUGGGGGCUGGGCUAGUGUGUUAGGAAGACACGGGACCAAGGCUGUUGUAUAGCAAGUAAAGCUGCCGCCGGCAGUGCCAGCAUCCCAUAUGGGUACCAGUUCAUGUCCUGGCUGCUCCACUUCUGAUCCAGCUCUCUGCUAUGGCUGGGUGUCGGGAGCAACUCAGACUAGACUAAGUUACUCGAAUUAAGACUUAUUCUAUGCAUCUGCUCUCCCACAAUAUGGUGCUGGGAGAGGAGUAAACUUCUACACAGCUGCCUCUCACCAACUUGACAAACUGCAGGAGCUGAUCCUGCUCCUGACUGGAGGAGAGCAGCGUGCUCGGCGUGUGGGUAGCAGAGCACAGAUUGGUGGAAGAGGACUAUAAAGGAGGAGAGAGACAACAUGCACCAGGAACACCUGAGGAACAUCUGAGCAGCCCCCGAGAGAGCCGGCCGGCAGUGUGCCACUCCCCCGCGGAAGUAGGGAAAGUGGCAGGGGGAACCGCCCUUCCACGGAGGUGGAAGGGAUGGUAGCCAACCCGGGAAGAACCAACAGCAAACCCAGGGAGGGCCCAGCAGACAAAAGAACAAUGCAGGGUCCUGUGUCGUUCCUCCGCGAAGAGGGGGAGCGACAGCUGGGAAAGAGGUAGAAGAUGGGCCAAGUCCCUGGGCCCCAGCAUGCGCAAGGGAGACAAAAAAGAAGCGCCUGGCUCCUGGCUUCAGAUCAGCUCAGCUCCAGCCGGGGCAGCCAACUGGGGAGUGAACCAGUGGGUGGAAGACCCCUCUCUCUGUUCUCUCUCUCUCUCUCUCUCUGCCUCUCCUCUCUCUGUGUAACUCUUUCAAAUAAAUAAAUCUUUUUAUCUUUUAAAAGGAAGAUGUGGGCCUGUGCGCUUCUCUGCUGCAUUUUUUAAAAAGUGACCCUGGGCAAAAGCAAGUAAAAAAAUUCGCAUUUGAUGGCAUUGACCCAAGUUGAGCUCUGUGAGGAAAAACCUCCCAGGUCCCUGCAGAAGAGGACACAGGCACAGGAUGGGCCAAGUCCCCGCACCGCCCGGCUCCCAGCCCCAGAGUUAAAACCCGCAGCAGUGUAGACAUCCCAGGGAGGUGAAAGCACAAAGAGCCAUGCCCACUGGGAUUCCCAGUGUUCUGGGAAAUACUGCGGGGAGCUGGGUGCAGCUGUGGGUCUCAUACACUGUACCGACCCCAGAGUCCAGCUGGAGAGUGGCCCUGUGUGCACUGAGGACCUGUUGACGCUGAGGCCAGCCGGGCAGACCACUGAGAAAUCCAGGACUGCAAUUAACAUCCAUGCCUGAUGCCCACAUGGCCCUGGGGAAGCCUGCGCCCCCUGCUGGUGAGGAGCAGACCUGCAAGGCUCUGAGCUCUGCAGGACCUGCCCUUGCCAGGGACCCACCCAUGAGGGUCCUGGCCUGCUGCUGUGGGACCUGGUCUGCUGUGUAGCCCAAGGAGAACCCAUUGCUUUCAUCAGAAAGGACGAUUGUUGGAUUUGGAAGCCGAAUGUGACACUUCCACCAGGGGACCCAGUUUGCUAAGACUGACAGGUAGAAGAGUGUAGGUGUGCAGAGGCCACCCCACCCCACCUGUGGAAUGAAGCAGCCUGGUGACUGACAGCCAGCACAGGUGGAGGCCCUGGGCCAGCAGCAGGGGAAGCAGCCCUGCCCUGAGAAGGCAGCCCUGAGACAGCACUGGAGCCUCUCUCCUGCUCACAGGCAUCCUGGCCCCGUCCCCGUGUCAGGCGCCUCCCCCACCUCUCUGUGAACCUGCAUCUCAGGACCCCUGGAGGAACUGGAUCCCAAGACAUACCUUGCACGACUUCUGCAAGCCCAU
Oryctolagus cuniculus (rabbit) is the source of this 3508-nucleotide non-coding RNA. Lineage: Eukaryota; Metazoa; Chordata; Mammalia; Lagomorpha; Leporidae. The record is from RefSeq and is a predicted model, not a curated record.